AUGUCCACAUGGGAAAAUGAAAGACCACAUUUGCCAAUUUUAAAGGAUGGAUAUGAACUCAGAAAAAUUAUUUUGGGCCAACUGCUAACAUUCAAGGACAAUGAAAGUGAAGAUAACAUGCCUGCCGGUGUACUUGAAUUCAUCAGUUGUAUCAGGAAAAUCCAAUAUAAAACUGGACUUGCGUGCUAUUUCUGA
RNAcentral lists this ribosomal RNA (195 nucleotides) under Triticum aestivum (bread wheat). RNAcentral's name for it is "partial small subunit ribosomal RNA". Lineage: Eukaryota; Viridiplantae; Streptophyta; Magnoliopsida; Poales; Poaceae. The record is from RNAcentral.